AAUCCCCUGCGGUGUUCGAGCGCUGCCCAUGCACUCCUUGAACCAAUGCCUUUGGGCAAGGUCGCUUUGACGUCCAUUCGGGCCCGUGUGCGUUCCCAUGCGGAAGCGCCUGACGGCCCGGGCUCGGCGACCACCUUGAACCUCGGUUCAGGGUCGGGGCAGCACGGCACAGGCGGGGACCCU
Molecule: non-coding RNA, 183 nt
Filed under: Betaproteobacteria bacterium
Lineage: Bacteria; Pseudomonadati; Pseudomonadota; Betaproteobacteria
Description: 6S RNA
Rfam family: 6S / SsrS RNA
About the family: E. coli 6S RNA was the first non coding RNA to be sequenced, but its function was unknown until recently. It consists of 184 nucleotides that fold into an extended hairpin structure with a large single-stranded internal bulge. The 6S RNA specifically associates with RNA polymerase holoenzyme containing the sigma70 specificity factor.
Source: RNAcentral